AGCCCUUUCGUCUAGCGGCAGGACAGUGCUUUUUCAAUGCAUCAAGAUAGGUUCAAACCCUAUAAGGGCCG
This 71-nucleotide transfer RNA is filed under the name Haptophyceae sp. NIES-3900. RNAcentral describes it as "tRNA-Glu". It matches the Rfam family "tRNA". Rfam says of the family: Transfer RNA (tRNA) molecules are approximately 80 nucleotides in length. The record is from RNAcentral. Lineage: Eukaryota; Haptophyta.